This 495-nucleotide ribosomal RNA is filed under the name uncultured bacterium. RNAcentral describes it as "bacterial SSU rRNA". It matches the Rfam family "Bacterial small subunit ribosomal RNA", at positions 28 to 536 of the family's 1533-position model. The record is from RNAcentral.
GACGAACGCUGGCGGCGCGCUUAACACAUGCAAGUCGUGCGGUGUCGAAGGCAAGUCUUACGACAAGCCUUCGACACAGCGGCGAACGGGUGAGUAACACGUGAGUAGCUGUCCUAAGGAGGGGGAUAACGCCUGGAAACGGGUGCUAACACCCCAUAUGCCUCGCAAGAGGUGAAAGUGUACUUGCUACAGCCUUAGGGUGUGCUCGCGGCCUAUCAGCUAGUUGGUGAGGUAACGGCUCACCAAGGCCAAGACGGGUAGCCGGCCUGAGAGGGUGUACGGCCACACUGGAAUUGAGAUACGGUCCAGACUCCUACGGGAGGCAGCAGUGGGGAAUCUUGGGCAAUGGGCGAAAGCCUGACCCAGCGACGCCGCGUUGGGGAUGAAGCCCUUCGGGGCGUAAACCCAUGUUGUAGGGGACGAAGAAAGUGACGGUACCUACGAGAAAGCCCCGGCCAACUACGUGCCAGCAGCCGCGGUAAACCAGACAGCGUA